CGUCCUCUGCUGUGUCGACAGCCUGCAAAACAUUCGCCUUGUCCCUUAAUACGACCUUGGGGAUGUGACGGAUCCGGGUGUGCAUGUCCGCCCCGUGUGGAAAGCCCGAUGGAUCCCCAGCGUUCCCACUUGAACCCCGGGUUCAAGGUCGUUUCGCGGGCAUCUUCAUUGGCGGAGGGCGU
This 182-nucleotide non-coding RNA is filed under the name Lysobacteraceae bacterium NML91-0213. Its description in RNAcentral is "Xanthomonadaceae bacterium NML91-0213 6S RNA". It matches the Rfam family "6S / SsrS RNA". From Rfam's summary of the family: E. coli 6S RNA was the first non coding RNA to be sequenced, but its function was unknown until recently. It consists of 184 nucleotides that fold into an extended hairpin structure with a large single-stranded internal bulge. The record is from RNAcentral. Lineage: Bacteria; Pseudomonadati; Pseudomonadota; Gammaproteobacteria; Lysobacterales; Lysobacteraceae.